AGAGUUUGAUCCUGGCUCAGAUUGAACGCUGGCGGCGUGCUUAACACAUGCAUGUCGAGCGGCAGCGCGGGAGCAAUCCUGGCGGCGAGCGGCGAACGGGUGAGUAAUGCUUCGGAAUCUACCCAGUAGUGGGGAAUAACCAGUCGAAAGACUGGCUAAUGCCGCAUACGACCCACGGGUGAAAGCAGGGGAUCGCAAGACCUUGCGCUAUUGGAUGAGCCGAAGUCGGAUUAGCUAGUUGGUGGGGUAAAAGCCCACCAAGGCGACGAUCCGUAGCUGGUCUGAGAGGACGACCAGCCACACUGGGACUGAGACACGGCCCAGACACCUACGGGUGGCAGC
Molecule: ribosomal RNA, 342 nt
Filed under: uncultured bacterium
Lineage: Bacteria
Description: bacterial SSU rRNA
Rfam family: Bacterial small subunit ribosomal RNA
Source: RNAcentral